GUUGGUGAACCAGCGGAGGGAUCAUUACAGAGUUGAAAAACUCCCAACCAUUGUGAACCUACCUCACCGUUGCUUCGGCGGGUGGCCCCCUGAACCAGGGGCCGCGCCGGCCUCCUCCCCCGGAGCCGGCAACCCGUCAGAGGCCCGUAACUCUUCGUCAUCAGUGGCCUCUCUGAGUAACUUAUACAAUAAGUCAAAACUUUCAACAACGGAUCUCUUGGUUCUGGCAUCGAUGAAGAACGCAGCAUCU
This 250-nucleotide unclassified non-coding RNA is filed under the name plant metagenome. Its description in RNAcentral is "partial contains small subunit ribosomal RNA, internal transcribed spacer 1, and 5.8S ribosomal RNA". The stretch from base 198 to 250 matches the Rfam family "5.8S ribosomal RNA", at positions 1 to 53 of the family's 154-position model. The record is from RNAcentral.